CAGCCGCCGCGGUAAUACGGAGGGUGCAAGCGUUACUCGGAAUCACUGGGCGUAAAGGACGCGUAGGCGGAUUAUCAAGUCUCUUGUGAAAUCUAACGGCUUAACCGUUAAACUGCUUGGGAAACUGAUAAUCUAGAGUAAGGGAGAGGCAGAUGGAAUUCUUGGUGUAGGGGUAAAAUCCGUAGAUAUCAAGAAGAAUACCUAUUGCGAAGGCGAUCUGCUGGAACUUAACUGACGCUAAUGCGUGAAAGCGUGGGGAGCACACAGGAUUAGAUACCCCUGUAGUCCCUGUCUCUUAUAC
Molecule: ribosomal RNA, 301 nt
Filed under: uncultured bacterium
Lineage: Bacteria
Description: partial 16S ribosomal RNA
Rfam family: Bacterial small subunit ribosomal RNA
Source: RNAcentral